AAGCACCGGCUAACUCCGUGCCAGCAGCCGCGGUAAUGCGGAGGGUGCUAGCGUUAAUCAGAAUUACUGGGCGUAAAGAGCGCGUAGGUGGUUUUUUAAGUCAGAUGUGAAAGCCCUAGGCUUAACCUAGGAACUGCAUUUGAAACUAAAAGACUAGAGUUUCGUAGAGGGAGGUAGAAUUCUAGGUGUAGCGGUGAAAUGCGUAGAUAUCUGGAGGAAUACCUGUGGCGAAAGCGGCCUCCUAGACGAAAACUGACACUGAGGCGCGAAAGCGUGGGGAGCAAACAGGAUUAGAUACCCUGGUAGUCCAUGCCGUAAACGAUGUCGACUCGGAGGUUGCUUCCUUAGAGAAGUGGCUUCCAAAGCUAACGCAUUAAGUUGACCGCCUGGGGAGUACGGUCGCAAGGCUAAAACUCAAAUGAAUUGACGGGGGCCCGCACAAGCGGUGGAGCAUGUGGUUUAAUUCGAUGCAACGCGAAAAACCUUACCUGGUCUUGACAUCCAUAGAAUUUGAUAGAAAUAUCAAAGUGCCUUCGGGAACUAUGAGACAGGUGCUGCAUGGCUGUCGUCAGCUCGUGUUGUGAAAUGUUGGGUUAAGUCCCGCAACGAGCGCAACCCUUAUCCUUUGUUGCCAUCAGGUAAAGCUGGGAACUCAAAGGAGACUGCCGGUUAUAAACCGGAGGAAGGUGGGGACGACGUCAAGUCAUCAAGGCCCUUACGACCAGGGCUACACACGUGCUACAAUGGUACAUACAAAGAGAUGCAACUCUGUAAAGAUAAGCAAACCUCAUAAAGUGUAUCGUAGUCCGGACUGGAGUCUGCAACUCGACUCCACGAAGUCGGAAUCGCUAGUAAUCGUGGAUCAGAAUGCCACGGUGAAUACGUUCCCGGGCCUUGUACACACCGCCCGUCACACCAUGGGAGUGGGUUGCAAAAGAAG
This 940-nucleotide ribosomal RNA is filed under the name Buchnera aphidicola (Eulachnus nigricola). RNAcentral's name for it is "bacterial SSU rRNA". It matches the Rfam family "Bacterial small subunit ribosomal RNA", at positions 488 to 1426 of the family's 1533-position model. Lineage: Bacteria; Pseudomonadati; Pseudomonadota; Gammaproteobacteria; Enterobacterales; Erwiniaceae. The record is from RNAcentral.